This 3740-nucleotide long non-coding RNA is filed under the name Homo sapiens (human). Its description in RNAcentral is "HSALNT0122030". Lineage: Eukaryota; Metazoa; Chordata; Mammalia; Primates; Hominidae. The record is from RNAcentral.
CCUCAGGCCAAAAAUGUUUAAUCAGGCUCCAGCCUUAUCUUUCAAGUAACAGGAAAUACGGUAAUAAAGGAAAGAGUAAAUGACACCAGGAGGGAACGCAUAGGGGACAUUCUACAAGAAACUCCUGAAUUGUGCGAAAAGAUCAAUGUAAUGAAAAAAAGACUGUUUUAGAUUAAAAGAGACUAAAGAGACACAAAAGCCAGGUGCAAAAUGUGAGUGUUGAUCGGAUUCUGUUGAAAAAAGUUAUAACUGGAACAUGCGAAUAUAAUAAAUGAUGCCAUGGCAUUACUCUCCGUAUCCACCGAUUCUGCAUCCACAGAUUCAACCAACUUCAGAUCAAAAAUAUUUUGGGGGAAAAUAAAAAUAAUACAACAAUAAAGAUGAUACAGAUGAAAACAAUAUAGUAUAACAACUAUGUACAUUGUCUUAGGUAUUAUAAGUAAUCUAGAUAUUAUUUUAAUUUUAAUGUUUUUUAAAAUUUUACUUUUUUUUUUUUGAGACAAGGACUCACUCUGUCACCCAGGCUGGAGUGUGCAGUGGGGCAAUCUCAGCUCACUACAACUUCCACCUCUGGGGCUCAAGUGAUCCUCCUACCUCAGCCUCCUGGGUAGCUGGGACUACAGGUACACACCACCACACCUGGCUAAUUUUUGUAUUUUUUGUAGAGACGAGGUUUCACCAUGUUGCCUACACUGGUCUUGAACUCCUGAGCUCAAGCAAUCUGCCUGCCUUGGCCUCCCAAAGUCCUGGGAUUACAGGCGUGAGCUGCUGCGCCUGGCCUAGAGAUGAUUUAAAGCAUACAGCAGGGGUAGAAAGGGUAGGAGGAAGUGGGUAGACAGAGAUUUGUUAAAGGAUAUAAAAUUACAGCUAGAUAAGUGGGCUAAGUUCUAGUGGUCUAUAGCAUUUUAGGAUGACUGUAUUACAUCAUUUCAAAUAGCUAGAAAGAGAAUAUUGAAUGUUCCCAACAAAAAGAAAUGAUAAAUGUUCCAGAUAAAUAUGCUAAUUACCCUGAUCUCAUCACUAUACAUUAUAUGUAUCAAAACAUCACUAUGCACCCUAUAAAAGUGUACUUGUUUAUAUCAAUUAAGAAAAUAAAAGAAAAAAAUGUAAAUAAGGCAUAGAGAAAGAUAUGGAAAUACUAUGGCACUUUAUAUACAGGACUUGAGCAUUCGUGUAUUUUGGUAUCCACAGGAGGUCCUGGAACUAAUCCUCCAUGGAUACCAAGGGAUGAUAGUAUUGUUAAUUUUCUUAGCUGUGACAAUGGUAAUGUGGUUAUAAAUGAAAACUUCCUGGCUGGAUGUGGUGGUACAUGUCUGUGAUCCCAGCACUUUGGGAGGCUGAGGUGGGCAGAUUGCUUGAACCCAGAAGUUCGAGACCAGCCUGGGCAGCAGGGUGAAACUCUGUCUUUACAAAAAAAAAAAAAAAAAUAGCCAGGUGUUGGGGUGUGUGCCUGUAGUCCCAGCUACUUGGUAGGCUGAGGUAGGAGGAUUGAGGUGGAGGCUUCAAUGAGCUGUGAUUGCACCACUGCACCCCAGCCUUGGUGACAGAGCAAAGGAAAAAUAAAACUUAAAUUUUUUUCCAACAUACAUACCGAAGUAUUUAGAGAUGAAGUAUUUAUUUUGUCUGCAACUUACUUUCCAAAGUUGGCAACAAAAAAAAGUGUGUGCAUAAAAAAAAUAGAUACAUGGAGAAAGAGAGAGCAUGUAAACGAACAUGGCAAGAUGUUAACAAUUGGUGAAUCUCUAGGUUAUGUGGGUGCUCACUGCACUAUUCUUUUAAAUUUAUUUUUAUUUUUGUUGUUUUUCAGAGACAGGGUCUUGCUCUAUCACCCAGGCUAGAGUGUAGUGGCACCAAGAUAGCUCCCUGCAGCCUCAAACUCCUGGGCUCAAGUGACGCUCCCUUCUCAGCCUCCCAAGUAGCUGGGACUACACAGGUGUGCUCCACCACACCUGGUUAAUUAAAAAAAUUUUUUGUAGACACAGGGUCUCACUUUGUUGUCCAAGCUGGUCUUGAACUUCUGGAUUUUGGCGAUCCUCCUGCCUUGACUUCACAAAGUGCUCGGAUUACAGGUGUGAGCCACUGCACUUGCCAUUGCAUUACUUUUUAACUUUAUUAAAAUAAAGAGUUGGGGCCGGGGCCAGGUGCGGUGGCUCACUCCUGUAAUCCCAGCACUUUGGGAGGCCUUGGCGGGCGGAUCACUUGAGGUCAGGAGUUCAUAACCAGCCUGGCCAACAUGGUGAAACCCCAUCCCUACUAAAAAUACAAAAAUUAGCAGGGCUUGGUGGCACACGCCUGUAAUCCCAGUACUCAGGAGGCCGAGUACUGUAAUCCCAGUACUCAGGAGGCCGAGUACUGUAAUCCCAGUACUCAGGAGGCUGAUUCGCUUGAAUCCAGGAGGCGAAGGUUGCAGUGAGCCGAGAUCGCGUCACUGCACUCCCACCUGGAGGACAGAGUGAGACUCUGCUUAAAAAAAAAAAAUUAGCCAGGCGUGGUGGUGUAAGCCUGUGGCCCCAGCACGUGCCAUGACACCUGGUUGAUUUCUAAAGAUUUUGUCGAGGCAGGGUCUCUGUUGCCCAGGCUGGUCUCGAACUCCUGGCCUCAGGCCAUCCUCCUAACUAGUUCUCCCCAAGUGCUGGGAUCACAGGUGUGAGCCACUGCACCUGGCCCUGUUCAGAUUUUCUAUUUUUCCUGGGACAAUUUUGGUCAUUUGUAUCUUUCUAGGAAUUUUUUUGUUGUUGUUUUGAGACAGAGUCUCACUCUGUCACCCAAGCUGGAGUGCAAUGGCAUGAUCUCAGCUCACUGCAACCUCUGCCUCCUGGGUUCAAGUGAUUUUCCUGCCUCAGCCUCGUGAAUAGCUGGGAUUACAGGUGUGAGCCACCACGCCUGGCUAAUUUUUGUGUUUUUAGUAGAGACAGGGUUUCACCACUUUGGCCAGGUUGGUCUCGAACUUCUGACCUCAGGUGAUCUGCCUGCCUCGGCCUCCCAAAGUGCCGCGAUUACAGGCGUGAGCCACCACACCCAGCCAAGAUGUCGCAUCUUUUUAAAUGUUGGCAUUUGCAGCUAUAAAUUUCCCUCAGAGCAGUUUUUGCCGCAUUCCUUAAGUUCUGGUAUGUUGUUUUCAUCCAUCUCUAUUUCCUAAUUUUUCUCGUGAUUUCUCCUUUGACCCUUUGGCUGUUAAAAAGUGUGUUCAAUUUCUAUGUAUGUGUGAAUUUUCAUUUUCCUUCUGGUAUGGAUUUCUGGUUUUAUUCCAUUGUGAUUGGAGAAGGUGGUUUGCAGGAUUCCGAUCUCUAAUUUACUGAGACUUGCUUUGUGCACUAACGUGUGGUCUGUCCUGGAGAACGUUCCCUGUGCACUUAGAAACGUGUGUUCUGCUGCUAUUGGGUGGAGCACUGUUAAGUCUGGUCAGCCUUUUGGUUUUUAUGUAAUACUUGGCACAUUCACAAGAAAAUGUGUGAAACAGAAAGUACGACAAAGUGAAACCCACGAAGCCACCACUGACCCUGAGGUUCAAAACCUCCAGCAUCUCUGCUCUUCCCUAAGCACAGCUCCGUCCCCUCCCCACGGGUGAGCACUGUGUUGUACUGACUCCCUGCCCUCCCUGAUGACUUUAGCACCUGGGUAUGAAUUCCACACAUAUUUGGUUUUGAGCUUUAUAAAAAUGGCAUCAUACUGUAUGAACUGUCUUGCUUUUUCAUCCCACGUUGUUUCUGAGAGGUGUUUGUGAUGGAGCACAGGGCCAC